ACCUCUUCCUCGGCCGCGCACUUAAUUCUCUCCUCCCUCCUUUCCACUUCUCUCUGCCAUCAUCGGAUACCACCACUUCCGGCCACCAAUUCACAACACCGCUACCGCCAAUCAAUUCUGGACCCAAUUCCGAUUAAAACCCAAGAAGAUCACUGCCAUCCACCGCUGCCAGCCUCAUCACGCGACCAUCAAAGUCGCGACGGCGCUGCUCCCUAGCUCUCAUCAAGUUUCGGCCAUUUUCUCAACACACCCCCGCCAUCAGCGUGCUCAGACGAAGCCGGACAUCAAAAUCCAGAAUCCUCGCCGCCGACCCAUCCGCGGAGGGCUCCGCAAGCCCCAUCGCCGGAAUCCUAGACUCUGGGUUUCUCCGGUCUUUCUUCUCCAAAUCGAAGCGAGCUCUAAUACCUCCAAGAAUGGAGUGCCUCUCCUUUUACCAAAACCAAGGGCCCCCGACUUCUGAUUUCAACCAGAGCCGCCGUGGACGCCGCCGGCUUAUCCUCUUCGUUCUGGUAACACAUUCUGCGAAACCUCUCUUCCGUUAAUAGGUUGAGUUCCAAUUUAACUGUAAUGGAGUUAUUAAUGGUCAGUUCUUUUGAUUGUUUUUCUUCAAUUUCGUACUUGGAGGAAACGGUGGAAAUUCAAAUGUGAAGGGGAGCUUUUGGUCUUGAUUUCUAUUGAGUUUUUAAAGGGAUGAUGAGGAACUUAGGAGGACUGCAGGAAGCACUAGGUCAUUGAGACUAUGGUCUCGGCAGAACUGGUACAAGGUAGGUUCUCCACAAAAGGGAAUCAUUUUCGCUGACAAGUAUUUGCCAAUAUAGGUUGAGUGAUUGGCAUCCUCAGUUCAUUGCUUCAUUGACAUGUAGCUACGUUACUUGAGCAAACCAAUUUGGGUAAGCUUCUCAUCCAUUCGAGUCAGCACAACAGUAGAUAGAUAAAUCACAGAGUGAAAGACAGAGGUCAAGGUGCGACCUACAGUGAGGCAACAAGUGUAUGGCAUUGAAAGACAGUGAGGUCAUAUCACUAAUAUGUAAGACGCUACCACAUUAGCGUGUUUGUGGACACAUUUGGAAGAACAAUUGUUGGAUGGAAUUGUCGGAAUGGUCCAGUAUUGGAACACGAAGAAUAGGCUCGUUGAAAAUAGUUUUAUAUAUGCACAGGAGACCACAUGACUUAACCAAGUGAAGUCUUCAAAGUAUACAGUAGUACCCUGAAUUUCUAUAAGAUCCCUGUAAUGCUGUCAACAAUUUCAGCUGUCAACAAUUUGUUAUGUGUUUGACUCUAAACAAAACCCCAAACUACAAAUUUCUGUUGUGUUUUAGUUGUGUUAUUGUUGUGUUACUCUGAUUGUAAAGAAUUGCUCUUGGGGCUUCACAUAUGAUAAUCGCCAUAAUUCUGUCUUAA
Rosa chinensis is the source of this 1401-nucleotide long non-coding RNA. RefSeq lists it as uncharacterized. The transcript is spliced from 3 exons. NCBI's taxonomy places the organism in Eukaryota, Viridiplantae, Streptophyta, Magnoliopsida, Rosales, Rosaceae. The record is from RefSeq and is a predicted model, not a curated record.